GAGUUGUCAGAUGAAGAAUCUGAUUAUGAACUUGAAUAUGAAAUCUUAUCUGCUGGCUCGGCUGAUCCCUGGGAUGACACAGAUGUAGGAUGGGUAUCUGCAGAUGCUACUGUUGUAACCACUGGAACCGAGGGAUCAGUUCCUAAUGGAAAAACCGAAAUCAGGUUAAUUAGAGGAGAAAUGCAACCCUCAUCUUCUACAUCUCAAUUGGAAGGAGAAAGUGACAGAAAAGAACUGCCCAGAGCGGAUGCAGAUGAUGGUGAUUCAGAGGAUGAUAAAGGAACAACAUAUGAUUUUGAGAAUUUGGAACAGUUAAUGUCCGAGAUUGGGAAUGUCCGAGACAGCUUAAGGUUAAUGCCAGACUUCCAAAGGAGGGAAAUGGCUGCAAAU
Molecule: unclassified non-coding RNA, 390 nt
Filed under: Hevea brasiliensis (rubber tree)
Lineage: Eukaryota; Viridiplantae; Streptophyta; Magnoliopsida; Malpighiales; Euphorbiaceae
Source: RNAcentral